RNAcentral lists this ribosomal RNA (442 nucleotides) under uncultured bacterium. RNAcentral's name for it is "partial 16S ribosomal RNA". It matches the Rfam family "Bacterial small subunit ribosomal RNA", at positions 338 to 795 of the family's 1533-position model. The record is from RNAcentral.
CCUACGGGAGGCAGCAGUAGGGAAUCUUUCACAAUGGGGGAAACCCUGAUGGAGCGACGCCGCGUGCAGGAAGAAGGCCUUCGGGUUGUAAACUUCUGUUAUAAGCGAGGAAUAUGAUGGUAACUUAUGAAUAAGGAUCGGCUAACUACGUGCCAGCAGCCGCGGUCAUACGUAGGAGCCGAGCAUUAUCCGGAGUGACUGGGUGUAAAGAGUUGCGUAGGUGGAAUAAGAAGUAGCUAGUGAAAUCGGGUGGCUCAACCAUUCAGACUAUUCGCUAAACUGUUAAGCUCGAGACCGUGAGGGGUAACUGGAAUUGCUAGUGUAGGAGUGAAAUCCGUAGAUAUUAGAAGGAACACCAAUAGCGUAGGCAGGUUACUGGGAUGGUUCUGACACUAAGGCACGAAAGCGUAGGGAGCAAACGGGAUUAGAUACCCGAGUAGUC